CGCAAGUAGUGGCGGGCGAACGCGGAAGAGCCCAAACCAUAUUGAGCAAUUGAUAUGGGGUUGAAGGACUACAUAAUUGACUGUAACGGAAGAAGAAUGGCAUGGGAAGGCCAAUCAAAGAGGGUGAUAAUCCCGUACUCGUAAAAGUUACAGCAAGGUAGUAUCCUGAGUAGCACGAAACCAGAGGAAUUUUGUGUGAAUUUGCCGGUACCAUCCGGUAAGGCUAAAUACUCCUGAGAGACCGAUAGCGAACAAGUACCGUGAGGGAAAGAUGAAAAGAACUUUGAAAAGAGAGUGAAAUAGUGC
This 306-nucleotide ribosomal RNA is filed under the name Hemiselmis rufescens. RNAcentral's name for it is "partial Bacterial large subunit ribosomal RNA". It matches the Rfam family "Bacterial large subunit ribosomal RNA", at positions 238 to 549 of the family's 2925-position model. The record is from RNAcentral. Lineage: Eukaryota; Cryptophyceae; Cryptomonadales; Hemiselmidaceae.